CUUCGCUUCGCGCCUCAGAGGCCCCGUGUCCCUCCGCGCCUUCGCCGCUGCUCGGCGGCGCGGUGCCUGCGUAUCCCUCCGCACCUCAGUGCGCCUCGCGCCUCAGCAGCUAAGUGUCCCUCCGCGCGUCGCCGCCGCUGCCUGAGGCGCGGGCAGCUCCUCGGCGGCCUGCGGAGGCAGAGGCCCCGGCGCAGAUCUGUCGUUUGGUACUGUAUAUGCAAAGGAAGCAGCCAAAGAGCUGCAUGGGAGUCCAACUUACCAUGACUGACCUGUGUUUCACUUCGUACUGAGGCGUUGCCAAAGUAAACAAUCCUGGAUGGCUAUUUGGAAAGCAGAGGAGAGAAGAAAGAGGCAGCGAGUCAGAACUGGUCCAAAUGUGUCCAGACAAGCACCAUGUAUGAAUUGAUAUGCGUUAAGGGCCAUGUGCUGCCAGAGAGGAAAAUCUCAGUGAAAAAGAGGCUAUUUGUUGAGAGACAAG
This 478-nucleotide long non-coding RNA is filed under the name Dromaius novaehollandiae (emu). RNAcentral's name for it is "lncRNA (ENSDNVG00000006913.1)". The record is from RNAcentral. Lineage: Eukaryota; Metazoa; Chordata; Aves; Casuariiformes; Dromaiidae.